Mauremys mutica (yellowpond turtle) is the source of this 457-nucleotide long non-coding RNA. RefSeq lists it as uncharacterized. The transcript is spliced from 4 exons. Lineage: Eukaryota; Metazoa; Chordata; Testudines; Geoemydidae. The record is from RefSeq and is a predicted model, not a curated record.
UGUGGUUUGGCCUCUAGUUAGAGAGGUGGUGUUUCUGUAGCCCACAUGACUACAGAACAGGACUGUUGAACUCUGCACCAAAAGGAAAAGGACUGCUUAUUGUAAAGGGAGAAUUCUUAGUUCGGUGCAGAGAGAAACUGAGGCAUGACUGUGCUCAAAUGGUGAAUGAGAUAAGUGCUGUUUAACAGCCUAAUAAAAGGAAAUAAACAGGGUCACUCAACAAGGAAGAAAACCCACAAUAAAGAAAACAAGCAUGCAUCUACUCCAGAAACUCACUCAAAUAGAACAGCAAGAGUCGAAAGGGAGAACUGAGGUGCAUCGUCAAAGCUGCGUGGAGCAAAUGAUGAAGACAUCAGCCAUAGUACCCUAUGCAGCACUUCUAUCUGGUCUUGCAAGUUCUUUUCCAGGCAUUGCAAGAAAAAGUUUACUUCUCCCAUAUUGACUAUAAUGAAACGGG